GACGAACGCUGGCGGCGUGCCUAAUACAUGCAAGUCGAGCGGACUGAUUAAGAGCUUGCUCUUAUGACGUUAGCGGCGGACGGGUGAGUAACACGUGGGCAACCUGCCCUGUAGAUCGGGAUAACACCGAGAAAUCGGUGCUAAUACCGGGUAAUAUCUGAGAUCACAUGAUCUUAGGUUAAAAGAUGGCUCCGGCUAUCACUACAGGAUGGGCCCGCGGCGCAUUAGCUAGUUGGUAAGGUAAUGGCUUACCAAGGCGACGAUGCGUAGCCGGCCUGAGGAGGGUGACCGGCCCCCCUGGGACUGGGACAGGGCCCAGACUCCUAGGGGAGGCAGAAGUAGGGAAUCUUCGGAAAUGGCGGAAAUUCGGACGGAGAAAGGCGGCGUGAGUAAUGAAGGUUUCGGCUCGUAAAGCUCUGUUGUUAGGGAAGAAACAGUACCGAACGAACUAGGUCGGUACCUUGACGGUACCUAACCAGAAAGCCACGGCUAACUACGUG
Molecule: ribosomal RNA, 500 nt
Filed under: uncultured bacterium
Lineage: Bacteria
Description: partial 16S ribosomal RNA
Rfam family: Bacterial small subunit ribosomal RNA
Source: RNAcentral